Molecule: ribosomal RNA, 253 nt
Filed under: uncultured bacterium
Lineage: Bacteria
Description: partial 16S ribosomal RNA
Rfam family: Bacterial small subunit ribosomal RNA
Source: RNAcentral
UACAGAGGUCCCAAGCGUUACUGAGAAUCACUGGGUUUAAAGGGUGCGUAGGUGGUCCGUUAAGUCAGUUGUGAGAUCCCCGGGCUCAACCCGGGAACUGCUUCUGAUACUGGCGGACUUGAGGCCAGUAGGGGUCACUAGAACUGACGGUGGAGCGGUGAAAUGCGUAGAUAUCGUCAGGAAUGCCGGUGGUGAAGACGGGUGACUGGGCUGGUUCUGACACUGAGGCACGAAAGCGUGGGGAGCGAACGGG